RNAcentral lists this ribosomal RNA (467 nucleotides) under uncultured bacterium. RNAcentral's name for it is "partial 16S ribosomal RNA". It matches the Rfam family "Bacterial small subunit ribosomal RNA", at positions 28 to 506 of the family's 1533-position model. The record is from RNAcentral.
GACGAACGCUGGCGGCGUGCUUAACACAUGCAAGUCGAACGGAAAGGCCCUGCUUUUGUGGGGUGCUCGAGUGGCGAACGGGUGAGUAACACGUGAGUAACCUGCCCUUGACUUUGGGAUAACUUCAGGAAACUGGGGCUAAUACCGGAUAGGAGCUCCUGCUGCAUGGUGGGGGUUGGAAAGUUUCGGCGGUUGGGGAUGGACUCGCGGCUUAUCAGCUUGUUGGUGGGGUAGUGGCUUACCAAGGCUUUGACGGGUAGCCGGCCUGAGAGGGUGACCGGCCAAAUGGGAACGAGGAAACGGCCGGGGCGCCAGCGGGAGGCAAGAGUGGGGGAUAUUGAAAAAUGGGGGGAGGCCGGGAGGAGCAAUGCCGGGGGGGGGAGGGGGGCCUUCGGGUGGGAAACCGGUUUCGCCGGUUAAGAGGGGUGGGGGAGGGGAAUGGGGAAGGAAGCAAGGGCAAACUACGG